UCGACCGUGUCUCUCUGUAGC
Molecule: microRNA, 21 nt
Filed under: Oreochromis niloticus (Nile tilapia)
Lineage: Eukaryota; Metazoa; Chordata; Actinopteri; Cichliformes; Cichlidae
Description: oni-miR-10873
Source: miRBase by way of RNAcentral